GCCUGAUCCAGCCAUACCGCGUGGGUGAAGAAGGCCUUCGGGUUGUAAAGCCCUUUUGUUGGGAAAGAAAUCCAGCCGGUUAAUACCUGGUUGGGAUGACGGUACCCAAAGAAUAAGCACCGGCUAACUUCGUGCCAGCAGCCGCGGUAAUACGAAGGGUGCAAGCGUUACUCGGAAUUACUGGGCGUAAAGCGUGCGUAGGUGGUCGUUUAAGUCCGUUGUGAAAGCCCUGGGCUCAACCUGGGAACUGCAGUGGAUACUGGGCGACUAGAAUGUGGUAGAGGGUAGCGGAAUUCCUGGUGUAGCAGUGAAAUGCGUAUAGAUCAGGAGGAACAUCCAUGGCGAAGGCAGCUACCUGGACCAACACUGACACUGAGGCACGAAAGCGUGGGGAGCAAACAGGAUUAGAUACCCUGGUAGUC
Molecule: ribosomal RNA, 422 nt
Filed under: Stenotrophomonas maltophilia
Lineage: Bacteria; Pseudomonadati; Pseudomonadota; Gammaproteobacteria; Lysobacterales; Lysobacteraceae
Description: bacterial SSU rRNA
Rfam family: Bacterial small subunit ribosomal RNA
Source: RNAcentral